Long non-coding RNA from Gallus gallus (chicken), 3244 nucleotides. RefSeq lists it as uncharacterized. Lineage: Eukaryota; Metazoa; Chordata; Aves; Galliformes; Phasianidae. The transcript has 2 exons. The record is from RefSeq and is a predicted model, not a curated record.
GCGGCAGUUGAGACGCCGUCAGCGCACCGAGCCUCUCCCGCUCGCUAUAGCGCCCCCAUCUCUCUCUUCAGCCUCAGCACGUACCCUCUCAGCAGCCAGAGGCAUGGUUUAGUCACCUAGCGCCGCCAGUGCAGACGGAGGCCAUCGUGGAAUGCACUCCAUUGGCUGAAUUCCCUUUUUGGCAAGCACAAGGGAGGGCAACUGGGAAAUAGCUCGGCAGUAUCGAAGAAAAUCCAUCACUUGUCUUCCCAUAAGGCACCCAUCGAGGACCCAGUGAGCCCUCAGCACUGUACCAUCACUGCACAGCUCAAAGCCUGUAUCAAACUAAAGCCAAGUUGAUGCCGUCAAAGCUAAUUGUUAAAUGUUUUUUUCUGGCUCAGCUAUAGAUCCAAGGUUGAAACUCCACUGUAAGUUCCAUUAGUCCUGCUUAUCUAGGGAAAACAGCCUUGCUGUGAUGGAGUGUUUCUCUUCAAAGAUGCAAGACUGCCAUAAAUCAGAAACAAGGACAGACACCUUGAGGAUCCUUGAGAUGAGGCACAAGUCCAAAACAGUGACCACUCAGAAAGAAUGAGGUGUCCUUGUGACCAAACGUGGCUAAGGCGAGGAGGACACCUCCCCAAACAACCAAAGACCACUGAAGACCCCCACGAGUGCAGAAGAUUCAAAUAUGUUAUGUUACCUUCUACUUACAUAAUCCUGUGAAUAUAUAAUAGGAGAUUUAAAAUCAACAACAAACCCACUGGCUAAGGUUUUCUGAUGGUAAGAAGACAGAUGUCACUGUGAUGAGGGGGAUGCACGUACUGGAUGAGAACGGCAAUGUAGGAGGAAGGUAGCAACUAUCCUAAUCCAAAUAUAAGGAGGCAUUCAACUCAACUAAGACAAGAGGUUCCUUGCACCUGUAGACUAUGCAGCCUUUAAGAAGUCAGACACCCACUCUAAUCUCCAGAAGAAAGCUGUGACCCCCACCUGGGCCGGGAGAUGUUGACCCCAACUUUGCUUCAUAAGGUGGCAGGCAAUUUACAGGAACCUUGAACUGAGAACAGUACUGUGUGCAGGGAGACACGUUUGCCAAGCAUCACCGAAGAGAGAAAGCCCACCAAAAGAUGGUAAUGGAAACAGCAACCAACAGUAGCGCAUGAAAAAACUUGCAGAAGGAAUACAAGAAUAUUGUGCUAAGCAAACAACACAUAAUAGAAAACGAUGCACCAGUAGAUGAGGAAAAUGAGGAAAAGUGAAGUUUUCCUUAACGCUGUCUACAAUUGUGGAAAAUGGUUCUAGUUCAACUUUCCUUUUUUUUCUUUCCCCUUCUCCCUGCGGUAAUAGGGCUCAGAUAUGGUUAAUAACUGAACCAGGCACAAAGGAUUAAAAGGAGGCAGUAACCGGGGCAAAAGAAGUAUCUGUCUGGAGGGGUUAUAUUGCCCAACAGUUUGGUGAUAGAGGUCUAUUUCUAUACUUAAGUUGCUCUAGAAAUCCUUGGCGAAGGACUAUGGAAAUAUAAUGUUAUUUUAUAUAGAAGAAUAACACCUACAGCCUCUGCAUUAUGAUGUGCUCUGACAGGAAGCUUAUUACACACAAUCAUUUAGUUUUAGCAGUUCUGAAAUGAAGACCUCAAAAGCAGCACAAAGCAGCAAAUUUGCUCAUUCCCAGCAAGGCAAAUAAAAGAAGAAACGUUAAAAAGACACGUAAAAACACUAAAAGAGAACAGUAAGAACUAUUCUUAAAGACUUUUGUCAAUCAGGAAAAAUAAAAGAACCUUUACUGAAGAAACUAUAUUUAUGAUGGAAUGGAAGAGAGCACACUUGGAAAGAUCUUGAAUCAAGACAUAUGUACGAGGUGAAAGGUUAGUGAAAGUAAGAAAUAAUAUGGACAGCUGACUCAAACAGAUAUCCAAGUUAAUGAAUGUUAUCAGAGGAAAUGGUAAAUGCAAGAGCUAUACCAGGCGAACUUCUAAGUCACUUGAAAAGGCAGCAUACUUGAAAAGCAAAGGGAAAUAGAGAAAAACUAUUACAAAUUACCUACCACCUACCUCUCCUGUUAGCAUAUUGUGUUAGUACAAGCAGUCAGUAUUUCACACACAAGCUUACAAUCUCUUAACAGCCUAGAAAUAAUAAAAAUAAAUUAAACACACUAUAUAUAAAGCCAUGCUGCAUAAGGGCAAAUGUGCACGGAUGUUAGGUCAGAAGGUGGUAGGUGAGCUCAGCAGAAUGUGAACAAGAUUAGCAUUGUAAUUCCAGGACAGCAAGAAGAAGUUUGACAGCUGCAAGGUGAACUGUUUGAAAAAGCCUAGAAAUAACUGCAGGUUUCUCUCUCAGUUCCUCCUGAAUCAAGCCACUCUAUAAAGAGCCAGAAGGCUUGGGUGACUUUAAAGAGCUAACUGACUGUAGGAACAGGAGAGCACUGCACACCAGGACAUUGCUGUAGGAUAAAUCAUAGAGAAGUGUUUAGACAAUCUCUGACUUGAAGAAUUAAAAGAAAAUAUUUACUGCACAGAUCAGAGCUAGACAACAGAGCACAAGUUCUUCCAAGGAAGUAUGUUAAUAUCACCGUAAUUUAUCACAGGUAACUCAAAUGAUGCAUGACUGAACAGUGAGUUAUGAAGUGCAUUUUCUUGCUAUUUGACUUUUGUAAUGGACAUAAAUCAAUUAAUGAAAAAUAGGCUUCAGUCUCCCCAUUCUUUCAGAAGAGACGAGAUAUGCAAUUAAGUGUAAGUGUAAGUCUUCACAUUUUCACAGCCUGAACUUUUUAUUAUCUGGCUGAUAAUGAAAGUACCCCACUUUAUCUGGAGUGGAUACUCUGACUUCACAGCUGUAAUAUAUUUUUUAAUUACUUCUUAAAGUCACUGGACUGCCAAUAACAAAUUGCCAUUCCUUUCAUGUGACAAAGAAAUUAGAGCUAAGCGGGGGGACAAAUCAUUCCUAUCAACAACAAUCAGCUAAUCCAGAUCAUCAAAAUUAGUCAAGUGUCAGUUUUCUUAUUCAUAUACUCUUGCUCUUCCUUCACACUACCAGCUACCUAUGGUACGUAAUACUGAACCAGGAGCAAGAUCAGAGAUUUGAAGUUUUUAUAUUUUUUAAAAAGCAUACUUGAUUCAAUAUUGAACUCUUACCUACUGAUUUUUCAGUUGCUUCACAUCAUCUAAAAAGGCUUAGAAUCCAAUCUCUGUAUAACAAAUGUUUAUUCAGAAACAGAUAAUACAUAAUCUUCUCCAGCCCUAACAUUUCUCCCCCUCCCCCCGAUUUUUAUU